UUAAUAAGUCACAGGUGCGAGACGAGAUUUUUUUAAUAUAUGUAUUUCAUCUGAAUACAUUUCGUCUCGCACCUGUGCAUGGUUUCAGUUUAUAUAUUUUUUUCACCUGAAAUCAAGAUGGCUGUUCAAAAUUUUGAAAUUAAACCGGAAAAUAUAACCGAAUAUAGAACACUUAAAAGAGGAGAUCAACUAGCUGUAGAAGGUGCAGAAGUUGGUAUUAAUUUUUACCACCAUGGAAUAUUUCUGGGACACGAGAAAGGUGUAGCUGAUUUUGGAGGUAAUAAUAAACUCGACGCAACAGUUAGAAAUGUUGAUUUAUUGCAGUUUACAAGUUACGGCAAGAGAAGACUUGUAAGGAUCAACUACCCUAACAACGAUUGCCUUCCACCAGAAAUCGCAGCAAUGAACGCAGAAAUGCUAGUUGCAGAUCCACAUCAGUGGGGGCCAUUUGAUAUACUGAAGAAUAAUUGUGAGCAUUUCGCCGUUAAGUGCAAAACAGGUGUAGCAGUGUCAUUUCAAGUUCUUGAUAAGCUAAGAGAAUGUCUUCUAAAUCCUGUUCAAUUGGUAAGGUAUGCUGUUGCAUCAAGUGUGAAUAGUGUGAAAAAGGGGGGUUUUGGAUCCCCUUCAAUAACAAAUUUAUUGAUUAAAAAAAUAAUGAUUGUUUUAAUCUAGCGAUGUUUGGAUAUAUAUAUAUAUAUACUUAUAGAAAAUAAUGGUCUAAUUGUAUCCCUUGAUAAAACUGUAAUUUGUACAUAUUUUAUUCAUUAAAUUUGAAGAAUUGUCUUAUCCGUGUGAUAUGACUGUCGUUAUCAACUGUUUCCGGUUUAUAUCAACUGCUUCCGGUUAUUAUCGCAUGCCUUUCUGUAACGUUAUCGCACGGCAUUUCGACGUCACUCUGCAAAUUUUGGAAAAUACACCUCAAUGGUACGUUCUAAGUGAAAAACAUAACAAAGAAGGAAUAAAGAAAACAAUAUUUGGAAACAGGAAAAUAUAUUAUUAAAAAAUGCAAAACAAAUAAUACAAUAAAUGGAUUUUUCAAAGUUUUAAAAAUAGUUCUUGUCUGUAUGCCUUCUGCUGUCGGCUCUCAGGCUGAUAUCAUGACCUAGAGCUGAUAAAGGGUCGGAUAUGAAAAAUGCCAUGUUAUAAUCUAUAUAUAUAUAUUAUACUUAAGGAUUAUGAAAUGCUAUAACAUGUUUGUCUUAAACGCAUUUUUUUUUUCAGUAUAAUGCAUUGUUUUUUUGUUUUGUUUUGUUUUUCAAAAUCAAAAUUGUGAUGUACUUCAAGACAUAUACAUAUUCUUAGUCCAGUUAUGUGCGUAAUUAUAGCAGUAUGAUCAUUCAUAUUUAUAGAAUAAAAUUGAUGUAUUAACAAAACAUUAUAUCUUUAAUUGAUUAUUGCACACACAUAUUAUUUCAUUGCAUCUCUACUGUUUAAAGAGACAGAACUCAUACAUGUGUCCUACUCACCUUAGAUCUGUAUAACUACAAAAUGUAUAUUAUUAAAUCAAUUAAAAAACAA
Molecule: long non-coding RNA, 1518 nt
Organism: Mytilus californianus (California mussel)
Lineage: Eukaryota; Metazoa; Mollusca; Bivalvia; Mytilida; Mytilidae
Exons: 2
Source: RefSeq, a predicted model, not a curated record